Molecule: ribosomal RNA, 200 nt
Filed under: Staphylococcus agnetis
Lineage: Bacteria; Bacillati; Bacillota; Bacilli; Caryophanales; Staphylococcaceae
Description: partial 16S ribosomal RNA
Rfam family: Bacterial small subunit ribosomal RNA
Source: RNAcentral
AUCGUAGAUCAGCAUGCUACGGUGAAUACGUUCCCGGGUCUUGUACACACCGCCCGUCACACCACGAGAGUUUGUAACACCCGAAGCCGGUGGAGUAACCAUUUGGAGCUAGCCGUCGAAGGUGGGACAAAUGAUUGGGGUGAAGUCGUAACAAGGUAGCCGUAUCGGAAGGUGCGGCUGGAUCACCUCCUUUCUAAGGA